UGUAGACACAGAGAAUCCAUGGUUGCAUCACUGUCCCUGGAGGCUUCAUUCUCAACUCCAACUUGGCAGAUUGAGAAGAAGUAUUCAACUGCUGCCCUUACCGGAAACUGGGUGGAAGAGAGGAGGAAGUUCACCAGAGAUACCGAGAAGGUCCCCCAGAGCACUCACAGAAAGGAUUACGUCCAGUUCCCGGGGCACAAGCCAGACCAGAUCUCCAGGUGGUAUGGGAAGAGAAGAGUUGAGGGCCUCCCGUACAAACACCUGAUCACCCACCACCAGGAGCCCUCGCAACGCUAUCUGAUCAGCACCUAUGACGACCACUACAACCGGCAUAAUUAUAACCCGGGCUUGCCGGCACUCCGUACCUGGAGUAGACAGAAGUUGCUGUGGCUGCCAGAGAAGUCCGACUUUCCCCUUCUUGCUCCCCCUACAAACUAUGGACUCUAUGAGCAGCUGAAGCAGAGGUGGCUUGCAUCCAAGUCUGGCCUGAGAGAAAGCAUUUAUACUUCAUCCUAUCCCAGACCAUCAGAGUGUGCAAUGUCCAGGCGGGAGUACGCCAUCCCGGUCCCCCCGCCUCGCCUGCACCCUGUCCCACACUUCUGAAAACUACAACCCUACCAGCAGUUCAGCCAGAAUCACCUGGAAAUUUAUAGUAUCACUGGAUCUGCCUGACAACCAGCAGUUGCAGAAGAACUCAGAGUAUCAAGCCUGGCCCACCAGUGGGGCCCUGAGAAUCAUGGGUUGGGUUUUAUGGUACUGUUACCUCCAAACCCAAGGGUUCCUUUUUUUCCCAUCCAUGAAUUAAAGCUUUUUGAUGCCUCCUCAGGACCAUGCACAUGCAGAAGACAGGCUCGCAUUGUCGAAGAAAACCAGAAGUCUGACAUCCUCAUUUCACAGGAGGGGAAACUGAGGCUAGGUGAUAACGGACUCCCUAGUGUUCUCACAGAUAAGUAUGUGCCCUUGAUAAGUGUCUGGUACAAUGGGAGAACCCAUCAUAAAGACUCCAGGGAAUAGUGAAAGAGCUUUUGAGAGGUGGUAAUGAAGCAGGGGAACAGCUCAUCCAGAGUUAUCUAGGCUAGAGAGACAUGCAUUGGCUUUGAAGAAGGGAGAACACAGGGCAUCACCUCUGCACCUCGGAGCUCUGCAGCACUUUCAGGGGUCUGAGGAAAGAAGAGACUGCUGGUAGUUUGGGAGUGAAGUUGGUGCUCCUCAUGAGUUCAGGUGAACAACUCAGGGUGAACCUGUCCACCUUCAGCCAGGAUAGAAUUCCCCCUGACAUGGUGGCCCGUCUUGGGUUGAGAAUGGUGUGUCUGUAAUCUGGCCUCUUGUACUUUUAGCAUUUAACAGUUAUAACUCAGUCUUUCCUUAAAGAACCUCUCACCAUCGUAUGCCUCCUCCCCAUUUCCUUGCAUCCACUACAGCGAGUGCAGUGCCUGGUAUAAAGUUGGCACUUGCCGUGUGAGGUGACACAUCCCUGUAAUCCCAGCAUUUGGGAGGCUGAGGCAGGAGGAUUGCUGCAAGUUCAAAGCCAGCCUGGGCUACAAAGUGAGUUCAAGGCCAGCCUGAACUGCAUAGUAAAACCUGUCUCAAAGAGACAAAAAAAAUAGUGCUUAACAGUCAGUAGCUGUGUGUGUGGAUGACCUCAAAUCUCUUUUAGGGAUCCCCUCUGGACCACUGCCCUAUAUCCUGAGUCUCUGUCUCGAUAUUACCCAUAAACCUCCACUCCAAGUGGGCCUCUAAGCCCAGGCCCUGGCCAGUUUUGGUCCCAAAAGUCUUUGUUUUUCUGGGAGUUCAGCACCCUGGACUUCAGACUCAGAAGAAAAUGCCUUUUGUGGCUUUCUUCUGUGACUUUCAGGGAGGAAAUUAUCUCUCUGCUUCUUCUUCCUUAGCACCAGGAUGUACCCAUCCUAACAGGCUCAGUGUGCCCUUGCUUCUGCCAGAUCAUCUGCUGUGUCUGCCACCAAAACCAUACAAAUGACCAGCAGACAUCUUUAUGCUUUGAUGAAAAAUUAACACUAUUGGGUUGAGUGAGCACUGACCUCCAGGCCUAGAGGUGUUGAUUAUCCUGUUGAAUCACUACAGGUAGGAUACAAGACUGGGAUUAUUAGGAUCAUUCUGUCUCACAGAGGACAAAAAGGGCCAGUAGGGAUGGGCUGAUUGGCCUGAGGUAUUACGACUGUUGAGCCCAGGAGUGGGACUUGAAUCCAGGCACUGUGGCCAUAAGCGUGCCUGCUUAGCUCUUGUACCUUGUACCACCCACAGAAAUGCCAGCAGGAACGUUGGCAGUUCUGUGUGCUUGGCUCCUGGGCACUUGGAUGUUUUGGCAAUGAUUUUUGUCCUGGCGACAAAUAAGAUGGUUCAGUUGAAUCCAGGAUUUGUGUCAUUCUUCAAAUUGAACACCUGCUGUCCUCAGGCCUCUUACUCCAGAGUUACUCUGGCACCUCCUCCAGCUCCUUCUCUUUUUUUCAGUUUAUUUUAAUUGGUGCAUGUUUGCUGAACAUGAAGUUUGCAUUCAUCCUUGGGAGUAGGUACGUUACAUGACACAUCGUGAUUCCUUUAGUAGCUCUUUCCCUCCCCAUUCACCUGUCUCCUUCCAUUUCUUCAUCACCUGCUCCCAUUGCACCCUAUUCCUUGCUCCUCCAAGUGUCUGUCUGAGUAUUCUGUUUUCCCUCCUGGCUGGAAACACCUCAGGCACAUGUUGCUGUGUGAAAGGAAUUUUUCAACACUGCUAUAAUCUCAGUAACCUCCUUCCUAUGACUUACAUCCGGGAGGCCAUCAAGAAGACUUGGGAUCUGCAGAUUGGGGGUAAUAUUAAAUUUGAACUUGAGACCUAAGGGCUCUAUGUCCUUCUACUUCCUACUAAGCUCGAACUGAGUCACUGACUGGGCAAAGUACAAGAGUCCAGGAGCAGCUAGGCCAAAAAGAAAACUGUGGUAACCACAGGGACUGGAGAGGAAGGGGCACCUUUUCUUUCCCCUAAGCCCUGACUUUGCUAAGGUUCGUGAUGAGUCAAGGAUGUCUCUGUUGCUGCAGCACAUGCCCCAAAUCUUGACUGCAGUAGCAAGAGAGACACUGGAGAAACACAAACCAUACCCAAGGAAGCCUUGCUUUGCACAGAUGGGCUCUCCUUUCCCACAGGGCCCUGCCAUCAUCCCACGGGUGUGUCUUUCCUGGAAGAGUGAGGCAGGGAUUUGUGAUGAGCCCAAGCUCACCCUAAGGAGAGAGAGAGAGCACCAGGUGCACAGGCCACAGAAAGUGGCCCAUCUUUUCCCCAUUCCAGAGUCUAGAAGUUGUGACCACCAGACCCCACCCAGUCCUCUACCCUAUACAUCCCCGAAGAACAAACGCCAUUCUCCCAGGUUCACACGGCUGGAAAGCCCCAGAAUCUCUUGAAUUCUGUUCACACAGAAAGAAAAUCUAUGCUUGGUCAAAUAAAAGGAGGUAGAAGGGAAACUAUUAUUAAGCAAGAGGAAGUGAAUAAGAGGUAGGAGCUGGGGUGUAAAGGUGGACAAUGGGAAGUAUGGAUAUCAGCAAAAUAUAUUUACACAUCGGGUCCCUCACAAAUAAUGUGAAUCUGGGAGACAGGAAAAAGGCAGACCCGGGGCAAGUGGAUUGAUCACAGUCUGUCAUGUAUAUGUAUGAAUUUGCCAAAGUGAAACUCACUCAUCUCUAUAGCAAUAAAAAUGAAAGGAGCGAAAGAAAGAGAAAAAAAUAAAUGUCUUGGAACUGUAUGUAUAUUCAUAUUUACAUCUAUAUAUCUGUAUGUCUUAUAUUAAUAAAG
Molecule: RNA transcript, 3781 nt
Organism: Chinchilla lanigera (long-tailed chinchilla)
Lineage: Eukaryota; Metazoa; Chordata; Mammalia; Rodentia; Chinchillidae
Gene: Cfap107
Gene name: chromosome unknown open reading frame, human C1orf158
Exons: 6
Source: RefSeq, a predicted model, not a curated record